AGUCUAGCAUGUGCGCGAGUCAUUGGGACUCAAUAAACCUAAAGGCGCAAUGAAAGUGAAAGUCUGUUUACGCGGACUUAGGGAGGAUAGGUGCGUACACACUGUGUACAACCUCGCACUCCCGGGGCGUCUCGCACUCAUUGCGAGGUGGGGCGCACCAAGAGCGUACACGCUGGGACCCGAAAGAUGGUGAACUAUGCCUGGUCAGGACGAAGUCAGGGGAAACCCUGAUGGAGGUCCGUAGCGAUUCUGACGUGCAAAUCGAUCGUCGGAACUGGGCUUAGGGGCGAAAGACUAAUCGAACCAUCUAGUAGCUGGUUCCCACCGAAGUUUCCCUCAGGAUAGCUGGCACUAGAUUAUGGAUGAGUCUCAUCCGGUAAAGCGAAUGAUUAGAGGCAUUGGGGUCGAAACGGCCUCAACCUAUUCUCAAACUUUAAAUGGGUGAGAUCUCCGGCUUGCUCGAUUUAUGAAGCCGGAGAUCGGAUCAAUUAGUGCCAAGUGGGCCACUUUUGGUAAGCAGAACUGGCGCUGUGGGAUGAACCAAACGCAGAGUUAAAGCGCCAAAAUCGACGCUUAUGGGAUACCAUGAAAGGCGUUGGUAACUUAAGACAGCAGGACGGUGGCCAUGGAAGUC
Molecule: ribosomal RNA, 634 nt
Filed under: Carabus stenocephalus
Lineage: Eukaryota; Metazoa; Arthropoda; Insecta; Coleoptera; Carabidae
Also listed under: 1 other name
Description: eukaryotic LSU rRNA
Rfam family: Eukaryotic large subunit ribosomal RNA
Source: RNAcentral